AGCUUUGCUGUUUGUUUGUAGCUAGUUCCCCCUAUUAAAGAGCUCCUCAUACUUGGCGUAAUUUCAGCUCCACCAGAAUAAUCCACCUCUUUACUUUUAAUUUUGUGUGCAUGUAUAACGCCAGCUUGUUUGCAAGCCGCCUUUUUUCCUUUGAAGUAGCAUCUUUCUAGUCUCUAGGGAGUUCCAUGGUGACAUGCAUGUAUGAACCAAUUUUCAGCCUGAUUAUUUUUUCUCAAUAAAUGAAAUAUAUUAAUAUCAAGAUAGAUACUGAUUACACCCAGCCUCUGCACCAUCACAAUAUCAAGACCUAGUCAAAACGUCAAGAAUGCACAAAACCAAAUUAUUACAAAAGGUAAAAAGGAAAAGUGUGAUCAAGAGUGUUACAGUAGAUACUUUGUUUGGCUAAAUUCUCGCAAGUUUUGUUUCUCCUUAUUUGAACUAAUUAAUGUUGUAAGGAAAGUUAGAAUUCAGAGAGAGCUCCAUUAGUUUUUUUUAGAGUACCUGGAAAGCAUGGUCCUCAAGAAUAAAUAGGAACCUAAAUUCGCCUCCGUGAGGAUUCGAACCCAGGUGUUGGGUUUGUACAUCCACUCCCCCAACCAGUUGAGCUAGGCUCACUCCCCAAAGAGAGCUCCAUUAGUGAGUAGCGUUUUCCUAUUUAUCUCUUCUGUUACAGAUUCCAACUUUUGGUGAUAUCAGAAACUAUUUUGCUGAAGUUCUUGAAAUUAUUAUUAUUGGUCUCUUAGUCAGACACACGCAUGUUUUGCCCUGCAAAAAUCAAUUGUUGUUCGUAUUGCCAUGAAUCAGUUUAGUGGAUUAUCAAUAUUCCUUUUGCUGCUAUUGCAGGUUGUCAAUUGCUGGCGUGUCUUCUUCACUAAACAUUAGUACUAUUUUCCAAUUUCCCUGACAUUUUCUCGCUCCAAAUCCCAUAAAGAAAAUCACAAUGUUCUGACCCUAUGCAACUGCUCCUAGAGACAUAUUGUAGCAAACAGAAGUCUCCAAUUUUUUGAUCUUGGUACACCAACCAUAACAAUGGCAUUCCCAACCCUACCAAUUACACUCACAUGCCUUACAGUGUUGGUAUUCUUGUCGAUUGCCAUGGCAGCUGCUAACGACUCCAUGGACUCGGGCCUUGUCCUCCUAAAUUGCGGAGAAUCAAAGCAAGACAAUGACAGUAGUGGCCGUAUGUGGGACGGGGACACCGGCUCCAAAUUCAUGACAUCGUUUAAAGGGGUUGCAGCCAAUGCUUCAUACCAAGACCCUUCACUCCCCUCCAUGGUCCCUUAUAUGAGUGCACGCAUCUUCACUUCAAAUUACACCUAUUCCUUCCCUGUCAACCCAGGCCGCAUGUUCUUACGCCUUUACUUCUAUCCGAUUUCUUAUGGAAACUAUACUAUGUCCGAUGCCUUCUUUGGUGUCACCUUAGGAAAUCUAGUCCUCCUGAAUAGCUUCAAUGCUUCACAAACGGCUCAGGCGGCCAAUUAUGCCUACCUUGUCCGUGAAUUCUCGGUGUAUAUUUCUUCACACAGUUUGGACAUCACCUUUGCCCCAUCAGCACAUCAGAACAGUUCUUAUGCAUUUGUCAAUGGCAUAGAGAUUGUGCCCACACCUGACAUCUUCACAACAGCUGACACAAUAUUUGUCCACCAUGAUUACAUAGCUCCAUUCACAUUUGCCGCUAACACAGGCUUCCAGACUAUGUACCGGUUCAAUGUCGGGGGCCAAGCCAUUUCCCCCGAGAAUGACUCCGGAUUUUACCGCUUAUGGGCCGAUGAUUCCCCAUACAUAUUUGGUGCUAGCUCUGGGGUGACAUACUCCAAAGAUAAUAAUGUGACUAUUAGGUACACACCCGUAGUGCCAAAGUACAUAGCGCCACUUGACGUCUAUGGUACAGCUCGGUCGAUGGGACCAACUGCACAGGUCAACCUGAAUUACAACCUUACAUGGAUUUUACCUGUUGAUGCGGGGUUCAUUUACCUCCUAAGGUUCCAUUUCUGUGAGAUUCAGUAUCCUAUUACCAAGGAGAACCAGAGGACGUUCUACAUCUACAUCAACAACCAGACAGCACAAUGGGCCAUGGAUGUAAUCUCUUUGAGUGGAGGACUCGGUAGAACAUCAUAUAGAGACUAUAUUAUCAUGGCUAGGGGUUCCGGUCAGGUGGAUAUGUGGAUUGCACUUCACCCUGAUAUUUCAACUAAGCCAUGCUAUGUUGAUGCGAUACUGAAUGGUCUUGAGGUCUUCAAGCUACAGGGUCAUGAACCGAACAAUCUUGCUGGGAUCAAUCCUCCACUUCAACAAAAUCCUGAUGCGGAACCUAAGAGGGUACCUGGCGGUGCAAGAAAGUCCAAAAGUGGCCUACCAGUAGCCAUCGCUGGCGGUUUUGCUUUGAUGUUGAUUGCCCUUUUCAGCAUGUGUGUUAUUUGCCGACGAAAAAAAGUACGGAAGAGUUCUUGCAAGACCAACAACGGACAUCUAAAUCAUCCCGCAUGUGAUCUCUUGCGUCAGUUCUCGUUUUCACAAAUUCAAAUUGCCACCAACGACUUUGAUGAGGAACUAAUCAUUGGCAGAGGUGGAUUUGGUAAUGUCUACAGUGGUGAGAUAGAUGGAGGGACAAAGGUGGCGAUCAAGCGACUCAACCAGGAAUCCCAACAAGGCAGUCAUGAGUUCCAGGCUGAAAUUGAGAUGCUGUGCAAUAUCCGCCAUGGCCACCUUGUGUCUUUGAUUGGCUACUGCCAGGACAAUAAUGAGAUGAUUUUGGUGUACGACUACAUGGCUCAUGGAACAUUGCGUGAGCAUCUGUACAAUACCCAAAACUCACCACUAUCGUGGCGGCGGCGCCUUGAGAUCUGCAUCGGUGCAGCUCGAGGACUGCAUUACCUCCACACUGGCACAGAGACAGGAAUCAUCCACCGUGAUGUUAAGACAUCAAACAUCCUACUGGAUGAGAGGUUCAUGGCGAAGGUUUCUGACUUUGGUCUGUCUAAGGCUUUUCCAGCCAUUGACAAUACCCACGUGAGCACCGCUGUGAAAGGCACCUUUGGAUAUUUUGAUCCGGAGUACUUCCUAUUGCGGCGUCUCACCAAAAAAUCAGAUGUGUACUCCUUCGGAGUCAUGUUGUUUGAGAUCCUGUGUGCGCGCCCUGUGAUAAACACUGAGCUCCCAGACGAGCAAGUGAGCUUACGUGACUGGGCGCUAUAUUGCCAAGAGAGAGGCGUACUUGAGGAGAUUGUUGACCCUUGUGUAAAGGACGAGAUCACCCCCGAGUGCUUCAGUAUAUUUGCAGAGCUAGCAGAAAAAUGUGUUGCUGAUCGUAGCAUGGAUCGGCCAACAAUGGGAGAUGUACUUCAGAACCUUGAGGUCGCACUCAGGUUGCAGGACAAUAACAACUGUGUCGGGAGGCCAUCGUCUCUUCAGAUCAUCGGAAUGCAUUCAGACAAACCAUCGACCCACUCAAUCAUUAGUGUCGCUGCACAGGGAGAGAUAUUUUCAGAUAUUAUACAUCUGGAAGGCCGAUGAAAGCAAACUGCAGAUAUUAAAAGGAGAUGCCACAUAUUUUACACAACUGAACCCUACAGGAUGGAGUCUGGAGACAAACAUUCAAUGCAAAGGAGUGGUCAGGUUUAGCUCGCUAGUCCGGUCAAGUGAAGGACUAGCAAAUUAAUUUCCUGCUGAUAGCGCAAGAAGACCCAGGGUGGUUUAUUUGUACUAUAUAUAGGAUAUUAGCUAGGCUUGUGAGCAAUGCAGAAUAUAUAUGAGGCCCGCAGGGAUUAAAUAUGCCAACUGUUUUUAUGCUCAGACUACGUGCUCAGCGAGAUAAAAAUCCUGAAGGAAGUUAAUUAGUUCACACUUCACAGUCAGUAAGAUGAGCCUGAAAUAAACAUUGCUAUGUUCUAUAUAUAUAGCUGUGGUUGUGAAGUGAGAUAGUUCACUUAACAGGCAAGAUUCGUUUCUCUUUUAAAUUUGUUUGCACUAGCCGCGGUUAUUAGGCCUGUGUUGUAUGUUUGCACUAGCUGCUGGAAUGAACUGCAUGCCCCGCUGAUGUGAUGAUGGUGGGUUUCAUUUGUAUCAUUCCAUCAACAUACAUAUUUCACUUUCCUCUAUUCAGGAACAAGGAAAGAAGCUCCACUGGUACUG
Triticum aestivum (bread wheat) is the source of this 4131-nucleotide RNA transcript. It is a transcript of the gene named receptor-like protein kinase FERONIA, with no coding region annotated. The transcript is spliced from 3 exons. Lineage: Eukaryota; Viridiplantae; Streptophyta; Magnoliopsida; Poales; Poaceae. The record is from RefSeq and is a predicted model, not a curated record.